UGCGAGUUGAUGGAAUACCUAAAUUUUCCAUAGCAAACUGCUCAGUAACACAUGAUCAACUUACCCUAUAGAGAAAAAUAACCUCGGGAAACUGAGGAUAAUGUUUCAUAGUUGAAAAGGCUUGGAAAAGUUUUUCAAUCAAAAGGAUAAGAAAAAUGGUUCUUCUCCGCUAUAGGAUAGGAUCGUGGUCGAUUAUGGUUGUUGGUGAGGUAAUGGCUCACCAAGCCGAUAAUCGAUAGGGGCCGUGAGAGCGGGAGCCCCGAGAUGGGUACUGAGACAACGACCCAGGCCUUACGAGGCGCAGCAGGCGCGAAACCUCCGCAAUACACGAAAGUGUGACGGGGUUACCCAAAGUGUUCAGUUUUGAACUGUGGUAGGUGAGUAACGUCCCCUACUAGAAAGGAGAGGGCAAGGCUGGUGCCAGCCGCCGCGGUAAAACCAGCUCUUCAAGUGGUCGGGAUAAUUAUUGGGCUUAAAGUGUCCGUAGCCGGUUUAGUAAGUUCCUGGUAAAAUCGGGUAGCUUAACUAUCUGUAUGCUAGGAAUACUGCUAAACUAGAGGGCGGGAGAGGUCUGAGGUACUACAGGGAUAGGGGUGAAAUCUUAUAAUCCUUGUAGGACCACCAGUGGCGAAGGCGUCAGACUGGAACGUGCCUGACGGUGAGGGACGAAAGCCAGGGGAGCGAACCGGAUUAGAUACCCGGGUAGUCCUGGCCGUAAACGAUGCAUACUAGGUGAU
Molecule: ribosomal RNA, 737 nt
Filed under: uncultured archaeon
Lineage: Archaea
Description: bacterial SSU rRNA
Rfam family: Archaeal small subunit ribosomal RNA
Source: RNAcentral